Molecule: antisense RNA, 75 nt
Filed under: Saccharothrix australiensis
Lineage: Bacteria; Bacillati; Actinomycetota; Actinomycetes; Pseudonocardiales; Pseudonocardiaceae
Description: ASpks TB sRNA
Rfam family: ASpks TB sRNA
Source: Rfam by way of RNAcentral
CUUGACCGAACCCAGCCACAGCGGCUGCUCGGGCGAGUGCUCGCGGCCGUAGGUGGCCAGCAGCGCCUGCGCCUC